GAUUAAGUUAUUAAGGGCGCACGGUGGAUGCCUUGGCACUAGAAGCCGAUGAAGGACGUUACUAACGACGAUAUGCUUUGGGGAGCUGUAAGUAAGCUUUGAUCCAGAGAUUUCCGAAUGGGGAAACCCAGCAUGAGUUAUGUCAUGUUAUCGAUAUGUGAAUACAUAGCAUAUCAGAAGGCACACCCGGAGAACUGAAACAUCUUAGUACCCGGAGGAAAAGAAAGAAAAUUCGAUUCCCUUAGUAGCGGCGAGCGAAA
This 260-nucleotide ribosomal RNA is filed under the name Staphylococcus aureus. RNAcentral's name for it is "partial 23S ribosomal RNA". It matches the Rfam family "Bacterial large subunit ribosomal RNA", at positions 1 to 258 of the family's 2925-position model. The record is from RNAcentral. Lineage: Bacteria; Bacillati; Bacillota; Bacilli; Caryophanales; Staphylococcaceae.